GAUGCCUAAAGAAAAAGAGAUUGUGGACAUCGUGAGGACGUUGGCUGGCUGAUGAACUCAUAAGUGUAGGCAGCAUGCUACAUGAUGGGCAAAGUUUUUGCUUACACCACACGGGUGGUUAGUCCAAUGGGGUGGAAUUUGAUCAUAAUCUUUUCUAUGAAA
RNAcentral lists this small nucleolar RNA (162 nucleotides) under Echinops telfairi (small Madagascar hedgehog). Lineage: Eukaryota; Metazoa; Chordata; Mammalia; Afrosoricida; Tenrecidae. The record is from RNAcentral.